UUCUAGGUGUGUAAUGUUAUAUAUUCAAGGUGUGUAUUCUAGGUGUGUAAUGUCGUGUAUUCUAGGUGUGUAAUGUCAUGUAUUCUAGGUGUGUAAUGUCAUGUAUUCUAGGUGUGUUAUGUCAUGUAUUCUAGGUGUAUUAUGUCAUGUAUUCAAGGUGUGUUAUGUCAUGUAUUCAAGGUGUGUUAUGUCAUGUAUUCUAGGUGUGUAUUCUAGGUGUGUAACGUCAUGUAUUCUAGGUGUGUUAUGUCAUGUAUUCUAGGUGUAUUAUGUCAUGUAUUCAAGGUGUGUUAUGUCAUGUAUUCAAGGUGUGUAAUGUCAUGUAUUCUAGGUGUGUAAUGUUAUAUAUUCAA
Long non-coding RNA from Oncorhynchus keta (chum salmon), 353 nucleotides. RefSeq lists it as uncharacterized. The transcript has 3 exons. The record is from RefSeq and is a predicted model, not a curated record. Lineage: Eukaryota; Metazoa; Chordata; Actinopteri; Salmoniformes; Salmonidae.